GAUGAACGCUGGCGGCGUGCUUAACACAUGCAAGUCGAACGGAAAGGCCCUGCUUUUGUGGGGUGCUCGAGUGGCGAACGGGUGAGUAACACGUGAGUAACCUGCCCUUGACUUUGGGAUAACUUCAGGAAACUGGGGCUAAUACCGGAUAGGAGCUCCUGCUGCAUGGUGGGGGUUGGAAAGUUUCGGCGGUUGGGGAUGGACUCGCGGCUUAUCAGCUUGUUGGUGGGGUAGUGGCUUACCAAGGCUUUGACGGGUAGCCGGCCUGAGAGGGUGACCGGCCACAUUGGGACUGAGAUACGGCCCAGACUCCUACGGGAGGCAGCAGUGGGGAAUAUUGCACAAUGGGCGGAAGCCUGAUGCAGCAACGCCGCGUGCGGGAUGAAGGCCUUCGGGUUGUAAACCGCUUUCGCCUGUGACGAAGCGUGAGUGACGGUAAUGGGUAAAGAAGCACCGGCUAACUACGUG
This 468-nucleotide ribosomal RNA is filed under the name uncultured bacterium. Its description in RNAcentral is "partial 16S ribosomal RNA". It matches the Rfam family "Bacterial small subunit ribosomal RNA", at positions 28 to 507 of the family's 1533-position model. The record is from RNAcentral.